Molecule: ribosomal RNA, 315 nt
Filed under: uncultured methanogenic archaeon
Lineage: Archaea; Methanobacteriati; Methanobacteriota
Description: bacterial SSU rRNA
Rfam family: Archaeal small subunit ribosomal RNA
Source: RNAcentral
UUAAGUCAGGCAACGAGCGAGACCCACGCCCACAGUUGCCAGCGUACUCUCUGGAGUGACGGGUACACUGUGGGGACCGCCGCUGCUAAAGCGGAGGAAGGAAUGGGCAACGGUAGGUCAGUAUGCCCCGAAUGUCCCGGGCUACACGCGGGCUACAAUGAAUGGGACAAUGGGUCCCUACCCUGAAAAGGGCUGGUAAUCUCACAAACCCAUCCGUAGUUCGGAUCGAGGGCUGCAACUCGCCCUCGUGAAGCUGGAAUCCGUAGUAAUCGCGUUUCAAUAGAACGCGGUGAAUACGUCCCUGCUCCUUGCACA